UCCGCCAAAUCCCAUCCCCCCUCCAAAAAAAAAAAGGGAAAAACCCUAAGACUUCUCUAACCGAGUAACAGUUCGUAAAACCUCUGUUUUGAAAGGAUUAGAGAACUGUUAUACGACGAAUUCAAAUAAUUAGAGAAAUUGCUCUAAUCGUAAAAUUCAGCGAAUUAAAGAACGAAGUUGCUCGUCACCUCCAUUGACAACAACUGCUCAUCUUCGAGUUUCUUCUCAUCAAGAUCAAAAAUUUGAAGUCCGAAGAACCUAUCCUUGAAGAAAGUGUAGAGCAAGUUGAAGUACAAGAGGUUUUUGGUUCGUCGGCUAUGGUUUAAAGACACUGUCUUAUGUACAUAUAUAUGCUGCAAUUUUACUUUUUUUCUUUAUAGGAAUUGUUAAAAAUGAUGCUUAACUCACCUCACUUUAUGCUUCCAGAUGUCUCCUAACUGGGUUUGCGAUUUUUAUUUUUCAUUUAGUAAGAUGAGUUUGUUACGAUUUGGAUUGAUUUUUGGUAAAUAUGAUACUUUCUUUCUUUGUA
Molecule: long non-coding RNA, 529 nt
Organism: Nicotiana tabacum (common tobacco)
Lineage: Eukaryota; Viridiplantae; Streptophyta; Magnoliopsida; Solanales; Solanaceae
Source: RefSeq, a predicted model, not a curated record